GCGUGCUUCACACAUGCAAGUCGAACGGAAAGGCCCGCUUGCGGGUACUCGAGUGGCGAACGGGUGAGUAACACGUGGGUAACCUGCCCCCAUCUCUGGGAUAACCGUUGGAAACGGCGGCUAAUACCGGAUACGACCACGAGGUGCAUGCUCGGUGGUGGAAAGUUUUUGCGGUUGGGGAGGGGCCCGCGGCCUAUCAGCUUGUUGGUGCGGUAGUGGCGCACCAAGGCUUUGACGGGUAGCCGGCCUGAGAGGGCGGUCGGUCACAUUGGGACUGAGAUACGGCCCAGACUCNUACGGGAGGCAGCAGUGGGGAAUUUUGCACAAUGNNANCAANCCUGAUGCAGCGACGCCGCGUGAGGGAUGNNGGNNANCGGGUUGUAAACCUCUNUNAAUCNUCACGAAGGCGGUGUAUUCGCACCGUUGACGGUAGUGGUUGAAUAAGCGCCGGCUAACUACGUGCCAGCAGCCGCGGUAAGACGUAGGGCGCGAGCGUUGUCCGGAUUUAUUGGGCGUAAAGGGCUCGUAGGCGGUUGAUUGCGUCCGCCGUGAAAGGCCUCGGCUUNACCGGGGUUUUGCGGNNGNUNCGGGUCGACUUGAGGCAAUUAGGGGAGAUCGGAAUUCUACGUGUAGCGNGAAAUGCGU
This 645-nucleotide ribosomal RNA is filed under the name Glycomyces lechevalierae. RNAcentral describes it as "partial 16S ribosomal RNA". It matches the Rfam family "Bacterial small subunit ribosomal RNA", at positions 42 to 691 of the family's 1533-position model. The record is from RNAcentral. Lineage: Bacteria; Bacillati; Actinomycetota; Actinomycetes; Glycomycetales; Glycomycetaceae.